GAUGAAGAACGUAGCGAAAUGCGAUAAGUAGUGUGAAUUGCAGAAUUCAGUGAAUCAUCGAAUCUUUGAACGCAUAUUGCGCUCUCUGGUAUUCCGGAGAGCAUGCUUGUUUGAGUAUCAGUAAACACCUCAACUUCCAUAUCUUUUUUGAAAUGGGAGUUGGACUUGAGUGAUCCCAACGCUUUUCCUCACCGAAAAGUGGCGGGUUACUUGAAAUGCAGGUGCAGCUGGACUUUUCUCUGAGCUAUAAGCAUAUCUAUUUAGUCUGCCUAAAAAACAGAUUAUUACCUUUGCUGCAGCUAACAUAAAGGAGAUUAGUUCUUGUGCUGACUGAUGCAGGAUUCACAAAGACAGGCUUCGGCCGACUUUGUAAACUCGAUCUCAAAUCAAGUAAGACUACCCGCUGAACUUAAGCAUAUCAAUAAGCGGAGGA
RNAcentral lists this unclassified non-coding RNA (433 nucleotides) under soil metagenome. Its description in RNAcentral is "partial contains 5.8S ribosomal RNA, internal transcribed spacer 2, and large subunit ribosomal RNA". The stretch from base 1 to 120 matches the Rfam family "5.8S ribosomal RNA", at positions 35 to 154 of the family's 154-position model. The record is from RNAcentral.